AUGGGAUAUCAGUUCUUAUCGCGGCGUUAUAAGAGGAAUAUCCUGUCCACAGACUGUACAUGCCAAGGUCGUCGCGGGAAAAGAGGUAUGAAAGGAGAACCAGGUGAUCCUGGAACGACGGGUCCUAUAGGUCCUCCUGGAAAGCCUGGAUUUCCGGGUGCUAUUGGUAUCGAUGGUCCCAAAGGAGAACCUGGUGAAAAAGGUGACAAAGGAGACAAGGGUGAAAGCGGUUUUGACUUGUUUACAACUACUAAAGGUGGAAAAAGAUCCAUAACGAGGCUGCACGGUGGGACCAUUGGUUACGCUGAGGUUAUAGCCAUUAAGGGUCUUGCUAGCGUAGGUGUUACAGUUUCACCUGGUGAUUUACUACUACUCAAAGGGGAGCCCGGAAGUCCUGGACCUCCCGGUCCUCCGGGGCCUCCCGGACCUACAGGUUUACCUGGAUUCGAUGGACGAGUGGGAUUACCUGGAGAACCCGGUCCGCCUGGAGAACCAGGAGCACCAGGUUCGCCAGGUCCUGUGGGACCUACCGGAAAAGAUGGCAUUUCAGGACCAAAGGGAGACAAGGGUGAUCGGGGAUUUAUGGGAUCCCCCGGUCUUCCUGGUCGACAUGGGGAUCAGGGGCCCCCUGGAUUACCUGGGCCCCCAGGUCUCAAAGGAAACAAAGGUAAUCCAGGAAAAAAUGGAACGAAUGGUAUUCCGGGAGCGACUGGAGAGAAAGGGGAGAAAGGGGAACGUGGCUUGACAACGACUCUGGACGGUAACGCUUUUCCAACUGGAUUCAUAGAAGGACCUCCUGGGCCUCCCGGACCUCCUGGGCCAGCAGGACCUCCGGGGAGAAAGGGCAAGCCUGGCAAGAAUGCCUCUCCAGGUCUACCCGGAGAACCAGGUCCUAAAGGUGAUCGUGGUGCCGCAGGUGAGAAAGGAGAAAAAGGACAAAAAGGAGUAAUUGGUCUUCCAGGGUUCCAGGGUGAGAGGGGUCACAUGGGACCUCCCGGGCUAGAUGGCGUGAACGGUUUGCCGGGCCCACAAGGUGCUCCAGGACUUCCAGGUCAGAUAGGUCCUAAAGGUGAAAAGGGUAAUCUUGGCGACCUUGGACCUCCUGGUUUGAUGGGACCUCCAGGAUUACCUGGGCCCCCGGGAAAAGUCGGUUUACCCGGAGAGAAAGGGGAGAAAGGUGACACGACCCCCAUAAAAUAUAUAAAACAAGCAGACAGUCGAUAUGGCCUCAGCGGAGAUAUGGUCAUCGGACCCCCUGGACCCGCUGGACCUCCGGGUCCUCAAGGUGUUCAAGGGCCUCCCGGCAUAAAGGGUGAUAAAGGAAUGGAUGGUCAAAAAGGAGAACCCGGUGACAAAGGAGAUAAGGGCGAUCCUGGACCAAUGGGACUUCCAGGACCGGUGGGAGUUCGCGGUGAUCAUGGACCGCCUGGAGCUGACGGAAAAAAUGGCGCUAUGGGUCCCCCUGGGUUGGAUGGAAUGAAGGGUGAACGGGGUGAACCAGGUAACAAAGGUGAAAAGGGGGAACCUGGACUUCCGGGAACUGAUGGCAUACCUGGAUUACCGGGUCCUAAAGGUGACAAAGGUGACGGCGGGCCUCCAGGGCCACGAGGAAAACUCGGAAAGCGAGGUGAGAAGGGCGACAAAGGCGACCAGGGCGUUCCCGGACUGGAUGCCCCGUGUCCACUUGGACCUGACGGAUUGCCGUUACCAGGGUGCGGAUGGAGGCCACCAAGUGGGGUCAUCAUUGCCCCUCCAACGACACCUCUUCCCGCGGCGUAGCUGUCCUGUUUGUCGAAAAUGGUCAAACACUGCCACGUAAGACAAGAAAAGUGAUGAAAACGUGAAGUUGCAGUGCUGGACACUGUUGUGUGUUAGCAGGUAUAUGUUUGUUGAAUUGAUGGUGCAAGACAAAGGUGGCCGAAAAGUUUGAACUCGCCAUCUGAAUUGUUAGAGAAUUUUCUCAUCAUCAGAGUCGACAGUCUUGGUUUAGAACUGAACAUUUGUGUCUCUCAGGUCUCAGUCCAGGAUAAGAAUGUGGGGGUAGAAGACUAGAAAAAAAAAACAGUUACUGUGCACUUUGUAUCGUGAAAAAUGUACUCAUAGUUUGAUCAUGUGGAGCCAGGAUUCGACAUUGUUUUGUAUGAAGCGAAAAGGCAUUUUAUUAUCGCCAGUAGAGCAUCGGUUAUCUAAUUUCAGUUAAUUUCUUAAAUUACCGAUUAUUUAAACUACCGUGUCACUGACAAAGCUAAGAAAAUAUUUAUUUUCAGCAACAUUUCAGCAUACUUCGUUUUAUCCUCCAUCGCUAAUGAAAUUCCAGCUGCUUUGUGGAUGUCGAAAAUUCGUGUAAAGCAAUUUUUCUAUUUCUGCAUUUCUGAGAGAAGUCCGGUAAAGUAAGCACUUAAAAACAACUCGUCGAUGUUUUUUAAAUCUUCAGAUUUUCAGUACAUCAAUGGUAUCUAUAUGUUUACUGAUUUAGUGACAAACGUUUGUAAUUAGAUUAUAUUCAUUUGAAAACAAAUCUGUUUUUCAAACACAUGGAUUUCGAGCAGAAACAAGCAAGACUGCCUUGAUGAAAAUAUUCUAAAAAGCUGUAUAAUAUACUGAAAAUGUGGAAAUUAACGAUAAAUAAAAUAUGAAAAUAACAAAUUUCGCCAAAACUAGGUUGACUUCAGUAGUUUUUAUAAUUCUACAAUUAUACGGUUUUUAUGUAUAACGUUUUAAUUAAGUGAAACAAAUCUUUGUGAUUUAUUGGUAAUAAACUUGUUUUCUUCUGCUAUGUUUUAAAAAACUUAAAUAGGAUUGAAUAAUGUAAAGAUUUUGCUGGUAUCCGGAAAAUUCCUAAUGGAGUUUUAUGACUAGGAUUUAUAUUCAAUUAAGUGUCUAAAAUUACAUAAAAUUUAUGAAUUUGACAUUAUUUGAAAUUAACUAUUUGUUUUGCUUUCUCCAGCUAUAUAUUAAACAUUGUAAUUGUUCCCCCCAAUAAAAUUCAUAUUUGAUAGCUUUAAAAUACAAGUAGAUCUUUUUGUUAGCUAAUACAAAGGCCCUGAAAUGCGUAAAUACGCAUUGUCAACACAAUUUAAAUAAAUUGCACUGGUAGAGAUGCUAAUAUAAAAUUCUGUCGCAAGAUAAUAUUUCACUAAUUCAUAUUUACUUUUAGAUUUAUGCAGCUACCUUUUUGUAUGAAUCCCACUUGUAUGAAUUAUUUAAAUUUUAACUUUAAGGUCCAUUAUGAAUGGAUAAACGAUGCUCUACAUAAAUUUCCUUGCACUAGAUCAACCGGAGAACUUUUAUAUUAUAAGUUAAUUCUGAAGUUUGAAAACAAUUUGAAAACAAAAGGCAGACAUAAUCGUGUUCUUAAUAAUGUCUUCACAUUAAAUGAUUGAAUUACUUUUUUCCAUAAUUGAUUAUCUUACUUCUUUCUGUUAUGCGAUCAAAAUUAAACAAUUUUUUAAUCGACAAAAUAUAAAGGCUCAAAAACGUUUUCCAUUUCCAUUUUCUCUUGUUUAAAAAAUGAAUUAUUUGUUCAAAGUUAACCUUUUUAUAGCCUUUAUUUUAUUCUCCCCAAUUUCUGUGUGUAUGUGUUUUGUUUUUGUUUUAAGAAAGUUGCAUUCGAGUAAUAGCUCUGAGAGUUUCAAUAUAUGAUGGUUUAAUAUUUUACCUUAAAUAUUCAGCUGAUUUCCUUAUGUUUUAAAUGGAUGAAAGUUAUUUAAAUAAUUUUAACCAUUCUAAUCUAUUAACGUUAUUAGAUUAAUUUAAAUAGUAUUUUUAAUAUUUUUAUCUCUUAUAAUAUAUAUGACAGAUCUUUGAAUUUCUUUUAUCUUCUUUCAAGUCACGUAGAAAUAAAGAAAACAAUUUUUAUGUCUAUCAAAACGUCGUUUAUAAGACUGAAUAUUGUGAUAUAAAAAAUUUAUUUGAGGUUAUGAAAAGGAGGAUUAUUUAUACAAUUAAUCUUAAAAACUAGAUCUUUAGAUUAAAACUAUAAUCUUAAGAGGAAGGAAUAAAAUUAAAGUUUACAUUUGCUUCUGUCUUGGUUAAAAGUUGUUACCGGUGAUCUAUGCAAGAAAUUAAACGAUACUCAAUCUUGUCAGAUGAAAGAACUUUUUUUACUCUAAGCUAACUAAAGUUUUAAGAAAUAUGGUUUUCAAACUGAACUUGUCGUCAUCUUUAGUUCCGCACAAAACAAGGCAGAAGUUCCCUUUUUAAUAAAAUCAGACUAAGCAAUUGUACUAUUGGAAUUUGAGUGGAAUUAAUUUUUAAUGUCGUAUGAAAAUUAUUAAUCAGAAAGCAUUUCUGUAUAAAUCAUCUGUGAAAACUUCUGAUAAAUGUGCUAAUUGUAAAUUAUACUUGUAUUUUUUCUUUCAUAUCUGUGCUUUUUAGAGUAUUUGUUUGAAAGCCAUUCUCCUUUCAGCUUUAGAUGAAUAAGACUGUCGUUUGUUAAAUCAUGUGGAGUUGUCAUAUAGUCCAUGGCUUCACCCAAAUCAUAAACAGUUUGUUCACUAUUAUUUUAAAAUUUCUGCGUUUAGACGAUCCAGUUAAUAGCUUUGCUUCUCUUGUCGAAGCGAAAGUUUUAUCUUUUAGCUUUCUAGUUUCAAGAUUCAAUGAUAUUUGUGGUUUCUUUGCUUUAUUUAUUCGUACCAAAAUUUUCUCUUUUCGCAUAAUUACGAAAGGUAAAUAAAUAAAUAAAAUGAGUUUUUCUUAAUAAACAGCCUUUAUUGUUACAAUGUAUAACCUUCAGCAAAUUUAGUGCUACAUGAAAGAAUGCGUUUUAUUAUCAUACUUUUUGCCACUUUAUACAUUUUUGCCAUCAGUAAAAGCAAUUUUAAAAUAUUUUCCAUUUAAAAUAUAUACUGCUUUUAAAAAAUUAUUUUAUUCCUUCUUCAUUUUUCGAAAAUAUACUGUAACUAUUACCUUUAAAAUUUCUGAACCUUAAAUUCGAAACUUUUACUCAGACAUAAAACUUUAAAAAAAUUUAAAAUAAAUUUUCGGAAACUUUUAACACACUUAAACAUCCUUUGGGUUUUCAAGAAGAUAAUAAGGAUUAUCAUUUUGUAUUUCACUUUCAACUCUCUAAUAAUAGCCUAAGCGAAUCGCCUAAAAGAUCUGUAUAACUUUCUUUUGGAUAAAGUGUAAUACAGCAAGCUUCACUUUUCAUCGGUUUUUACAUAAUUGUAUGUUAUUAAAGUUCAUGAAAUGAGGAGUAACAAAAUUAGUUUUCACAACAUAAAUUUCGAGAACAUAAGGGUAUAUUCUCUAACUCAAAAGAAUAAAACGGGAUGAAUUAGUCCCUCUGAAUUCAAAUACUUUUCAAGUUAAUAAUCUCUUUGAUGUUUAUCAUAGUUUCAUGUUUAAAAUUUAAGCACAGAUAUAUUUUUUUACAUUGAAUGGGAAAUUAAGAAGCAUUGUAUGAAUUAUUCAGUUUUAAAUUACAGUAAAUGGGAAUGACUAGAAAAUUCUUCGAGCAGUUAAGAUGAAAAUAUUUUGUUUCUUAAGUCUUAAUGAUAUACUAAAUUUUCUUUUUCUGGUACAAACUGUGCUGAAUUUAGUGAAGCCAUGCUUAGAAAUGUCCUCUGUUAUCUUAUUUGGGUGUUUUUUGUCCUGAAUACUUUGUCAUUUUUAAUUUAUUGAAAAAAGGAUACAUUUAUUCUGCGUUACAAGCAUCUAUGUUUUACUCUAAGACGUCAUUAUUUGUUCACCUUUGUAUAUCUAGAACUGCACAAUAAACGUUUUUUGUAACAACA
RNAcentral lists this unclassified non-coding RNA (5738 nucleotides) under Stegodyphus dumicola. RNAcentral's name for it is "collagen alpha chain CG42342-like, transcript variant X1". Lineage: Eukaryota; Metazoa; Arthropoda; Arachnida; Araneae; Eresidae. The record is from RNAcentral.